ACUCAAAGGAAUAGACGGGGACCCGCACAAGCGGUGGAACAUGUGGUUUAAUUCGAAGCAACGCGAAAAACCUUACCAGGGCUUGACAUCUAGAGAAUUCUAGUGAAAGCUAGGAGUGCCCCUCGGGGAGCUCUAAGACAGGUGGUGCACGGUUGUCGUCAGCUCGUGUCGUGAGAUGUUGGGUUAAGUCCCGCAACGAGCGCAACCCUCGUCGUUAGUUGCAUGCAGUGGCUUGCUGCUGUAGUGCUCUCUAGCGAGACUGCCGGUGAUAAACCGGAGGAAGGUGGGGACGACGUCAAAUCAUCAUGCCCCUUAUGCUCUGGGCUACACACGUGUUACAAUGGCUGGUACAACGAGCCGCAAGUUCGCGAGGACAAGCAAAUCUCUUAAAACCAGUCUCAGUUCGGAUUGGAGUCUGUAACUCGACUCCAUGAAGUCGGAAUCGCUAGUAAACGCAGAUCAGCACGCUGCGUUGAAUACGUUCCCGGGUCUUGUACACACCGCCCGU
Molecule: ribosomal RNA, 508 nt
Filed under: uncultured bacterium
Lineage: Bacteria
Description: bacterial SSU rRNA
Rfam family: Bacterial small subunit ribosomal RNA
Source: RNAcentral